UACGGAGGGGGUUAGCGUUGUUCGGAAUUACUGGGCGUAAAGCGCACGUAGGCGGAUCAGAAAGUAAGGGGUGAAAUCCCAGGGUCAACCCUGGAACUGCCUCUUAAACUCCUGGUCUUGAGUUCGAGAGAGGUGAGUGGAAUUCCGAGUGUAGAGGUGAAAUUCGUAGAUAUUCGGAGGAACACCAGUGGCGAAGGCGGCUCACUGGCUCGAUACUGACGCUGAGGUGCGAAAGUGU
Molecule: ribosomal RNA, 238 nt
Filed under: uncultured bacterium
Lineage: Bacteria
Description: partial 16S ribosomal RNA
Rfam family: Bacterial small subunit ribosomal RNA
Source: RNAcentral